GACGAACGCUGGCGGCGUGCCUAAUACAUGCAAGUCGAGCGAGUCUGCCUUGAAGAUCGGAGUGCUUGCACUCUGUGAAACAAGAUACAGGCUAGCGGCGGACGGGUGAGUAACACGUGGGUAACCUGCCCAAGAGAUCGGGAUAACACCUGGAAACAGAUGCUAAUACCGGAUAACAACAGAUGAUGCCUAUCAACUGUUUAAAAGAUGGUCCUGCUAUCACUCUUGGAUGGACCUGCGGUGAAUUAGCUAGUUGGUAGGGUAACGGCCUUCCAAGGCGAUGAUGCAUAGCCGAGUUGAGUGACUGAUCGCCCACAUGGGGACUGGGACACGGCCCAAACUCCUACGGGACGCAGCAGUAGGGAAUCUUCCACAAUGGACGCAAGUCUGAUGGAGCAACGCCGCGUGAGUGAAGAAGGGUUUCGGCUCGUAAAGCUCUGUUGUUGGUGAAGAAGGACAUGGGUAGUAACUGACCUUUGUUUGACGGUAAUCAAUUAGAAAGUCACGGCUAACUACGUG
Molecule: ribosomal RNA, 519 nt
Filed under: uncultured bacterium
Lineage: Bacteria
Description: partial 16S ribosomal RNA
Rfam family: Bacterial small subunit ribosomal RNA
Source: RNAcentral